GCUCCAGUGGCGCAAUCGGUCAACGCGCGGUACUUAUAAUGCCGAGGUUGUGAGUUCGAGCCUCACCUGGAGCA
Non-coding RNA from Paramisgurnus dabryanus, 74 nucleotides. The record is from the annotation of a RefSeq genome assembly. Lineage: Eukaryota; Metazoa; Chordata; Actinopteri; Cypriniformes; Cobitidae.